UACGUAGGGGGCUAGCGUUGUCCGGAAUCAUUGGGCGUAAAGAGCGUGUAGGCGGUCCGGUAAGUCCGCUGUGAAAGUCGGGGGCUCAACCCUCGAAUGCCGGUGGAUACUGUCGGGCUAGAGUGCGGAAGAGGCGAGUGGAAUUCCUGGUGUAGUGGUGGAAUGCGUAGAUAUCGUAAGGAAGACCAGUGGCGAAGGCGGGUCUCUGGACAGUUCCUGACGCUGAGGCACGAAGGUCAGGGGAGCAAACGGG
RNAcentral lists this ribosomal RNA (253 nucleotides) under uncultured bacterium. RNAcentral describes it as "partial 16S ribosomal RNA". It matches the Rfam family "Bacterial small subunit ribosomal RNA", at positions 524 to 776 of the family's 1533-position model. The record is from RNAcentral.